Poecilia latipinna (sailfin molly) is the source of this 142-nucleotide long non-coding RNA. RefSeq lists it as uncharacterized. Lineage: Eukaryota; Metazoa; Chordata; Actinopteri; Cyprinodontiformes; Poeciliidae. The transcript is spliced from 3 exons. The record is from RefSeq and is a predicted model, not a curated record.
UAACUGCCACAGUCGUUCUUGCCUUCUACUGACUGCAGCUGAACAGCGUCACCGUGAAGCGCUCCAAGCAAGAACAAACCAUUUCAUGCAGAUCCAGGGGCGGCGGUUCAGGGCAAAAACGGAUGUGUGUUUUUUUAGUCUG